CAAUAGCGUAUAUUAAAGUUGUUGCAGUUAAAAAGCUCGUAGUUGGAUUUGUGGCUGUCGUGUGCGGCCCGGCACUUGUGCCGGUGUUUGCUCGUGUCGCCAUCCUUGGGUGGAUCCUGUGUGGCAUUAGGUUGUCGUGCAGGGGAUUCCCAUCGUUUACUGUGAAAAAAUUAGAGUGUUCAAAGCAGGCUUAUGCCGUUGAAUAUAUUAGCAUGGAAUAAUAAGAUAGGACCUUGGUACUAUUUUGUUGGUUUGCGCACUGAGGUAAUGAUUAAUAGGGACAGUUGGGGGUAUUCGUAUUCCAUUGUCAGAGGUGAAAUUCUUGGAUUUUUGGAAGACGAACUACUGCGAAAGCAUUUACCAAGGAUGUUUUCAUUAA
RNAcentral lists this ribosomal RNA (379 nucleotides) under uncultured eukaryote. RNAcentral describes it as "partial 18S ribosomal RNA". It matches the Rfam family "Eukaryotic small subunit ribosomal RNA", at positions 592 to 976 of the family's 1831-position model. The record is from RNAcentral.